UUGGUGAUCAUAAUAACUCGUCGAAUCGCAUGGCCUUGUGCGGCGAUGCUUCAUUCAAAUAUCUACCCUAUCAACUUUCGAUGGUAGGAUAGUGGCCUACCAUGGUUUUAACGGGUAACGGGGAAUAAGGGUUCGAUUCCGGAGAGGGAGCCUGAGAAACGGCUACCACAUCCAAGGAAGGCAGCAGGCGCGCAAAUUACCCAAUCCCAAUUCGGGGAGGUAGUGACAAUAAAUAACAAUAUAGGGCUCUUUUGGGUCUUAUAAUUGGAAUGAGUACAAUUUAAAUCACUUAACGAGGAACAAUUGGAGGGCAAGUCUGGUGCCAGCAGCCGCGGUAAUUCCAGCUCCAAUAGCGUAUAUUAAAGUUGUUGCAGUUAAAAAGCUCGUAGUUGAAAUUUGGGCCUGGACGGGCGGUCCGCCGCAAGGCGUUGUACUGUCUGGCUGGGUCUUUCCUCUUGGUGAAUCGGCGUGUCCUUCACUGGGUGCGUCGGGGAACCAGGACAUUUACCUUGAGAAAAUUAGAGUGUUCAAAGGCAGGCAGUUUUGCCCAAAUACAUUAGCAUGGAUAAUGAAAUAGGACGCGCGGGUUCCUAUUUUGUUGGUUUCUAGAGUCGCCGUAUGAUUAAUAAGGGACAGCUGGGGGCA
Molecule: ribosomal RNA, 645 nt
Filed under: uncultured fungus
Lineage: Eukaryota; Fungi
Description: SSU rRNA
Rfam family: Eukaryotic small subunit ribosomal RNA
Source: RNAcentral